This 253-nucleotide ribosomal RNA is filed under the name uncultured bacterium. RNAcentral's name for it is "partial 16S ribosomal RNA". It matches the Rfam family "Bacterial small subunit ribosomal RNA", at positions 524 to 776 of the family's 1533-position model. The record is from RNAcentral.
UACGUAGGGAGCAAGCGUUGUCCGGAAUCAUUGGGCGUAAAGAGCGCGUAGGCGGUCCGGUAAGUCGGUUGUGAAAACUGGGGGCUCAACCCUCAGACGCCGACCGAUACUGUCGGGCUAGAGUCCGGAAGAGGCGAGUGGAAUUCCUGGUGUAGCGGUGAAAUGCGCAGAUAUCAGGAGGAACACCGGUGGCGAAGGCGGGUCUCUGGGCCGAUACUGACGCUGAGGAACGAAAGCGUGGGGAGCGAACAGG